UUCUCCCAUUGGUUAUUAAGAUGUUUUUGCUCAGUUUCAACUCACAGUGUCAAUUUUACAGUCUGGGACUACCUUGCAAAAUAAGGGUUUCUUGUAUACAAAAAUUUAGCAUAAAUUGAUAAAUAUGUGAAAAGGUAGCAUUUCAAAUCAAUGGUAAAGGAUAGGUGCUUCAAAAAAGGAAGCUGAAGGAAUGGGCUAAGGAUCUGGGGAAUCCUUAGCUGUUGUUCAUUUCAACAGCUUGUAUGUGGUAAAGCCAGGAUAUGAAUACAGGCAAGCUGACUGUGGAGAAUGUGCUCUUAACUAGUAUACAUACUAUAUUGCCUUCCCAUGGUAUAUAUAUCCAGCAUAUAGCUUCUUCCAUAGAGAUUUUUAAUUCAUAAAAAUUAGAAUUUCUUAUAUUAGGAAAGAACAUAUAUGAAAUUAAAUGGCAAAGUACAGACUGGGAAAACAUAUUUGCGACACCUGGCGUAACAGACAAAGGGGUUAAUUAAUAUACAUGAUAUAGCACCUUAGUUACUAUGUCGACUGGCUUUGGAGCUGGCAGACCACCAUCUUCCGCCACCACCACCUAGCUCCAUGCCUUAUUACCUACAUGACUUGGGGCAAGUUACUCAAUUCAUCUUUCCCCUAGGUUUCUCAUCUGGGAAUGGGCAAAACAAUAGUACUUACUUACUUUAUAGAAUUGUUGAGAAGAUAAAACAAGAUAAUAGAUAAACAGCACUUAGCACACUACUUUGCUGUGCUUUUUAUUUUUGUACUACGCAUAGAAUGUUACAUCAAUAAAAAGUAUAAUGAAACCAACAGAAAACUGGACAAAAUAUAUAAAGGGCAGUUCAUAAAGAAGAAACACAACUGCUCAACAUAGCAAAUAAAGCAAUGCAGUUAAAAUAACAAUCAUACCAUUUUCAGCACAUUAAAUUGUCAAAAAUAUUUUUAAGAUUAAUGCCCAAGGUUGGUGAGAGUUUAGGAACUAGACACUACAGGGAGUGAAAUUUGAUAAAUCCUGGCAAUUGGGCAGGAUACAACUGGCAAUUUGGCAGUUUGAUAAAGUGAUUUUUAGGGUUAUUUUAAGGAAAUGAUCAAAUAGGUAUGUAAGGAUAUAUGCAUGAAGAUGUUUAUUAUAACACU
This is a non-coding RNA of Manis javanica (Malayan pangolin), 1128 nucleotides long. NCBI's taxonomy places the organism in Eukaryota, Metazoa, Chordata, Mammalia, Pholidota, Manidae. The record is from RefSeq and is a predicted model, not a curated record.